This 341-nucleotide unclassified non-coding RNA is filed under the name Hevea brasiliensis (rubber tree). The record is from RNAcentral. Lineage: Eukaryota; Viridiplantae; Streptophyta; Magnoliopsida; Malpighiales; Euphorbiaceae.
GAAAAAAGCCACCAAGAGUGUACCUACAGUGCAAAAAUGUGAAUUGCGGGUGAAAAGGAAUUCUUGAACUGAUCAACCCCAGCCCCUUUGCCCCUUCGAAGUUCAAACACGACCAUAAAUUUAUAAUGAACAUAUACCCAAAAGCUUCAACUAAUCUAAAUUCUUUUGGAAUGAAUGCUCGAGCUGUUUCUGCUUUUACAAGAUGAAGCUGAUACAAGGCACUGAAUGAACAAACAGAUCAUUAAGCAAUUUCAAUGUAUGUUACUGGUAUAUAAUGAAGUAUGGAAGAGAAAGCCGUGAGAUACAUGCCUGCCUUCAAAUAUCCAAGGAGGCUUGCCGUA